This is a long non-coding RNA of Gallus gallus (chicken), 2002 nucleotides long. NCBI's taxonomy places the organism in Eukaryota, Metazoa, Chordata, Aves, Galliformes, Phasianidae. The record is from Ensembl.
GUAAGAUUUCCUUCAAUUUGUUCAGUUCUGCGUAUAAGAAGAAAAGCCUUAAGAGUAAGGCCUUGCUUUUAUCAGAUAUCUCAAAGGGAACUCAGAAAAAGCCCAGCCAGGCUAACAGCGGGUUUUGCAACCCCCAUUGCUCCCUUUGGAGCACAGUCACCUGGCUGACUCAGAGAUCAGCUCCAGAUACUGCUUUGGGACAUCCAUCUCCACCUGGCUUGAGAUUCUUCCCCCUGAGAGGUUUCCUUACCUGAUGGACAAGGCAGCUGUCAUUGUCAUUGCUAUAUUCUUUGUUUAGUUUACAUACUUGCUGUAUGUCUGGUGCAUGCUACACAGAAAAGGAAAGAAAUGCUACAGAAGCUGAAGAAGCAAAAUGUCACGCUAUUCGCAGAAACUGAAGAAAUUUGCUGUGCUUCUGGAAGGCUCUUCUGAUAUCCUGCUCAUAGGCAACUGUGAUAGAAGGAAUGAUCAUGUAUAUAUACAUAUUUGCAGAUAAUCUGAAGAAACUUUAUGCAAGAUGCUGACUGACAAUUUCUGAGGAUGGAAAUCUUCUAUUUAGCAAUCAGUCUGUUUGCCUACAGUGCUUGCCAGUAUGACUCUGGCCGUUUCAGGAAGACUAGACUCAAGAUGUGAAGAUGUCUAGCCACCAGUUAGUUUGGUUCCAGCCCCUUUGCUGAAGUUUGCUGAGCCUUCCAGGUGUCAUCCCAACUCCCUAAAUAGCUGCUUAGCAUCCUCUUCUACCUCAGUAUUUCUCACCCUCUGUCCCAUAAUUGUCAGUGCCUUGGAUGGUCUGCAUGCAACCCACUUAAGGAUUUCUCAAGAAACGGAGGGUGAGACAGCCUGGGUAUGAUUGCCCUCCAGGGCAAGGUUUUGUGAGAAGAGAGGGAGAAGGGCAAUGCCCAGAAAACUGUCAUCAGUAGCAUUCUGUAACCAAAUAAACACCUUCUUAGAUGUCCAGGCCUGGGUGCGCCUUGAUGAUCUUCUUUCCAUGACAGGUUUGGCUGGAGCUAACAAGUAGUCUGUUCUGUGCACUGCUUUCCAGAGCAAUCAGUUGGGAAUACUUUACAGAGUGUUGUCUUACUCCAGGUCCUCAGGGCUUCAGAGGUCAGCAUCCUACACUCUGGUGUUUCUCUAUCAGUAGCUCAUGUAUUUUCCUUAUUUUUAUACCAUGGCUGACGUGAGCAAAUAGACAUGUCGUGCAGAAGGAGAGCAGGUGCUGCUACCACCAGCUCCUUGGCUGGGUGCAGUAGCAUGGCACUGGUAAGUGUGAGGCAUGAGCGGCAGCUACUCAGGUGGUGCGCUGCUGACCUGGGAUGCACGCAGAUCUUUCUAGUCAGAAAAUACACCUCAGGAUGAAGCUGUGGCCAUUUUCUGCCAGAUAGCUAGGAAGUGGCUUUCAUGGGGAAAGCACAUAACAACUGUGCUCUGGACCACUGCCAUUGUUUCCACACAUCACACUAUUGUUCUGUUAUCAAUGCUAAAAUAAGUUUGAAAGGCUAACUCUAUGUGUACUGAUCCACAUUUUUCUGCAUUAUCUUUAUUUGCUAAUUACAGCACCGCAAGAUAUUCUAAGGGCAACCUUCCUCUUGCACCUCUGAGGCACUAUCAUCCCUCUAUGACAAAACUGCAGUCACCUCCAGCUCCGCAUUCUGUCCAUCUCAUCCUGUGAUAAAGAUCCUCCUCAGACCUGGAGGAGCAUUAUGAACACAGCCUCUCUGCAUUUGUCACUAUCUGUCAGCCUUCUUCAGUGCUGUGGGAAUGAGCAGCAUUUUGGUCAAGGGUCCUGCUUGCUUUAUCUUAUCUCUGCUGUCACUACUGUAAACCUGCGAGAGCCCACUUGCCUUCUUUUUCUUGAGAGCUUGUGUGGUGAAAUUUUGACUGUGUUGUGACAAAAAUGUGUAAGUGAGUAAGAGCUGGAUGGAUGUUUAGAAAUCAUAAAGUAAAACAGCGUCUGCAGACAGUGGUGAUAACAGCUGGCAUCUUGUUUUGGACACUGGAAAAG